RNAcentral lists this ribosomal RNA (253 nucleotides) under uncultured bacterium. RNAcentral describes it as "partial 16S ribosomal RNA". It matches the Rfam family "Bacterial small subunit ribosomal RNA", at positions 524 to 776 of the family's 1533-position model. The record is from RNAcentral.
UACGUAGGGUGCGAGCGUUAAUCGGAAUUACUGGGCGUAAAGCGUGCGCAGGCGGCUUUGCAAGACAGAUGUGAAAUCCCCGGGCUCAACCUGGGAACUGCAUUUGUGACUGCAUGGCUGGAGUGCGGCAGAGGGGGAUGGAAUUCCGCGUGUAGCAGUGAAAUGCGUAGAUAUGCGGAGGAACACCGAUGGCGAAGGCAAUCCCCUGGGCCUGCACUGACGCUCAUGCACGAAAGCUAGGGGAGCAAACGGG